GGUGUGUACUGGUCUUGAUGGAAGCUUACCUCUUGGUGGGUCGGCAUGCCCUUCGUUGGGUGUGUCGAUUAACCAGGACUUUUACUUUGAGAAAAUUAGAGUGUUCAAAGCAGGCUUUCGCCCGAAUACAUUAGCAUGGAAUAAUAGAAUAGGACGCGCGUCUUUAUUUUGUUGGUUUCUAAAUUCGCCGUAAUGAUUAAUAGGGAUAGUCGGGGGCAUUCGUAUUGCUUGGUCAGAGGUGAAAUUCUUGGAUUCUAGCAAGACGAACUACUGCGAAAGCAUUUGCCAAGGAUGUUUUCAUUGAUCAAGAACGAAGGUUAGGGGAUCGAAAACGAUCAGAUACCGUUGUAGUCUUAACAGUAAACUAUGCCGACUAGGGAUCGGACAAGCACAAUCUAUGACUUGUUCGGCACCUGAAGAGAAAUCUUUAAGUCUAGGUUCGGGGGGGAGUAUGGUCGCAAGGCUGAAACUUAAAGGAAUUGACGGAAGGGCACCACCAGGUGUGGAGCCUGCGGCUUAAUUUGACUCAACACGGGGAAACUCACCAGGUCCAGACACAAUAAGGAUUGACAGAUUGAUAGCUCUUUCUUGAUCUUGUGGUUGGUGGUGCAUGGGCCGUUCUUAGUUGGUGGAGUGAUUUGUCUGGUUAAUUCCGAUAACGAACGAGACCUUAACCUGCUAAAUAGACCCGGGGCCUUAGGGAACCGGCUGUCUUCUUAGAGGGACUGUAGG
RNAcentral lists this ribosomal RNA (732 nucleotides) under uncultured eukaryote. RNAcentral describes it as "SSU rRNA". It matches the Rfam family "Eukaryotic small subunit ribosomal RNA", at positions 671 to 1426 of the family's 1831-position model. The record is from RNAcentral.